AAGUGGCCCGGCCAGCGGCGCGGCGUCCGGGGAGGAAAUGGAAGCUGUGCUGGCCUGCCGGCUCCAGGGGCGGGGAAAUCGAGUAGCUGCACUCAGGCCCCGCCCGAGACCCGGAGGGAGCGCCGGGCCGUCCCCUUUUUCCCUCUGCGCUGGGCUGAGCCCAGAGCCGAGAGAAGGAGUCGGCUCUGAGUUCUUUGCUUGGUUUUUAGGUGGCAGCAGCCACAGGAGGAAUAUGGCGCUCUUAGGCAGCCGAGCGGAGCUGGAAGCGGACGAGGACGUUUUCGAAGAUGCCUUGGAAACCAUCUCAAUAUCUUCUCACUCAGAUAUGGCAACAAGCAGCCUUCACUUUGCAUCAUGUGAUACGCAACAGGCGCCCAGACAGCGCGGAGCAUCUACUGUGAGCAGUUCAUCAUCAACCAAGGUGGAUCUCAAAAGUGGCCUCGAAGAAUGUGCUGUGGCAUUGAACUUAUUUCUAAGCAACAAAUUUACAGAUGCCUUAGAAUUGCUUCGCCCCUGGGCUAAGGAGAGUAUGUACCAUGCCUUGGGCUACAGUACCAUUGUGGUGUUGCAGGCUGUCCUGACCUUCGAGCAACAGGACAUCCAGAACGGCAUUUCUGCCAUGAAGGAUGCUUUACAAACCUGCCAAAAAUACAGGAAAAAAUACACAGUUGUAGAAUCUUUCUCAAGUCUUCUUUCUAGAGGAUCCCUGGAGCAACUGAGCGAAGAGGAGAUGCAUGCUGAAAUCUGUUAUGCCGAGUGUCUCCUACAGAAAGCUGCACUCACGUUUGUGCAGGAUGAAAAUAUGAUCAACUUCAUCAAAGGUGGACUCAAAAUUAGAACAAGUUAUCAAAUAUAUAAAGAAUGUCUUUCUAUCCUGCAUGAAAUUCAGAAGAACAAACUUCAGCAGGAAUUCUUCUAUGAGUUUGAAGGGGGUGUCAAGCUUGGCACUGGGGCGUUUAAUUUGAUGCUGUCCCUUUUACCAGCAAGGAUUAUCAGACUACUAGAAUUUAUUGGAUUUUCUGGAAAUAGGGAGUUGGGCCUCCUGCAGUUACGUGAAGGUGCUUCAGGAAGGAGCAUGAGGUCUGCACUGUGCUGCUUAACCAUCUUAGCUUUUCAUACUUACAUCUCCCUAAUACUUGGUACAGGAGAAGUGAAUGUUGCGGAAGCAGAGCGUCUCCUGGCACCCUUCCUCCAGCAGUUUCCAAAUGGCUCACUCGUGUUGUUUUAUCAUGCCCGAAUAGAGUUGCUGAAAGGGAAUCUUGAAGAGGCACAAGAAGUAUUUCGAAAAUGCGUUUCAGUUCAGGAAGAAUGGAAACAGUUUCACCAUCUCUGCUACUGGGAGCUAAUGUGGAUUAAUGUUUUCCAACAAAACUGGAUGCAGGCAUAUUACUAUUCAGAUCUGCUUUGCAAAGAGAGUAAAUGGUCCAAGGCAACAUAUGUGUUCUUGAAAGCGGCAAUUUUGAGUAUGCUUCCAGAGGAGGAUGUAGUAGCAACUAAUGAGAAUGUGGUAACUUUAUUCAGGUAUGUGAGACAUUAUUUCUAUAACAAAGGCCCUGAGGGUAUAAAGGGGCAAAAUCUCAUCUCUACUAAAAAUACAAAAAAUUAGCUGGGCAUGGUGGCAUGUGCUUGUAGGCCCAGCUACUUGGGAAGCUUAGGUGGGAGGAUUGCUUGAGCCUGGGAGGUGGAGGUUUCAAGUGAGCUGAAAUAACGCCAUUGCACUGUAGCCUGAGCAACAGAGUGAGACUCUGUCUCCAAAAAAAAAAAAAAAAGACUAUGUAUAUUAACUGUAGCAUCAACAUCAACAUUAGUAAAAGCCAUGGCAUGAUAAAUGUCACCUUUUACUGUAAAGUUCAUUUCCUUAUUUUACAGAAACAAUAAUUAAU
This 1883-nucleotide small RNA is filed under the name Pongo abelii (Sumatran orangutan). RNAcentral's name for it is "retained intron". The record is from RNAcentral. Lineage: Eukaryota; Metazoa; Chordata; Mammalia; Primates; Hominidae.